This 252-nucleotide ribosomal RNA is filed under the name uncultured bacterium. RNAcentral describes it as "partial 16S ribosomal RNA". It matches the Rfam family "Bacterial small subunit ribosomal RNA", at positions 525 to 776 of the family's 1533-position model. The record is from RNAcentral.
ACGGAGGGUGCGAGCGUUAAUCGGAAUUACUGGGCGUAAAGCGCAUGCAGGCGGUUUGUUAAGCAAGAUGUGAAAGCCCCGGGCUCAACCUGGGAACCGCAUUUUGAACUGGCAGGCUAGAGUCUUGUAGAGGGGGGUAGAAUUUCAGGUGUAGCGGUGAAAUGCGUAGAGAUCUGAAGGAAUACCGGUGGCGAAGGCGGCCCCCUGGACAAAGACUGACGCUCAGAUGCGAAAGCGUGGGGAGCAAACAGG